GGCGUCCUCCCUUGUGUAGUUUUAGUAUAAACGUAUAUGAUUUUUUUUUUAAAUAAAUAAUUAUUACACGCCGGGAGCAAGCCCCUGUGCACAAGGAUAAGCAAAUGCGAAAAUUUGUUUGGGCACACCUGCCUGGUACCCCAAAAGGGCUUUUUCUGGCCUGUGGCUGUGGGGGAGGAGCCUGGGAGCUUUUAUAGUUAAAGCGAUGAUGCACUCACCAAAGAAAAAGAGUUCAUUGCGGCAGAGAUGGUCCAAGGAGGAGGAAGGAGAAUUGCUGUCCUUAUUCAGCAGGUGUUUUACAGAGGACAGAAAUAGAAGAGCAGAUGAAAAGAAGCAAAAGGAAAGAUGGUUUAAUUCACAAAAGACUUAGAGACAACAUCAAAAAGAAAGUUUCGGGAAUGCUUGUUAAAAAGCGUAAAGAAAAUUUCAAAUUAAUUUGCAGUUAAUAAGUAUGAAAAAGUUUUGAAGAGGAGUAGACAAGUCAAGAUGAAAUCUACCAUUAUAUGGUAGAGUUCAGAGGUGUAUCAUUGUAUAAAGUUAAUGAAAAUGAUAAAAGCGUUAACCAAUUUUUUCUUAUUUUGAUCACUGAAAAAGAUUCAGUGAAAAUGAGUUUUUGUAUUAUGUGCAUUGUUCUGCUUAGUAUAUCAUUUUUUAAGCUGAACACUUUUCAUAAAUAGGCACCAUAAGACAGGUAUAUAAACCCUUUGAUUUCCUUACACCAAUUUGUACACUUCAUGACUUGAAAGUCAUGGUCAACAUGUAGUAUUUCUUGUGUGGCCUUAGAUUUUUUGCAUUUAUUCUUUGUUUUUAUGUGCAUUUUCUGUUUGUAAAUAAUGUAUUGACUUAUAAUUUUCAUGAUAAUUUUCUCCUGUUUUGGAAAAAAAUUCCUAAAAUUUGAUAAUUUCAUAGGUUUAAGCUCUAUGUUGAGCAAACUUGCAUGGAUGAUACAUUUAAGGAUGCACAUAAAUGGACUUGCUUUGAAUGCUGAAUCCAGAUUUUCCAGAUAAUGGACCAGGCUAAAGUAACGGGUGCAGUCUAUUACCAAAAAACUAUAAGGCCUAUCUUAACCAAACUCGCUCAAAUGAUGCAUCAAGGGAUAAAAAUUUUCAAACUUGCUUCAGGUCCUGGAUUUGAAUUACAUUUUGACUAGUUUCAAGUAUUUGGAUGUCUAUUCUCAAGUUACUGCAAACCUUAUCACAUCAAAAUUGCAUAAAUUUUGUAAUUUGGUAUGUAAACUUCUAGAUUAUUAGUGGGACCUUGUCUUACUUAAAGACAAUAUUUUUUUAAGUUUGAGCUCUGUAAUCUCUGAUUACUUAUGUUUAUGAAAAGUGUUCAGCUUUAAGACAAAAGUAUCUUUUAUGAACAUUGCAUUCUGCAUGGUGAAUUUCUAUACAUUGACAGUCAUAGUUUUUGUCUUUUUUAAUUGGCAAUCUCAUUUUAAAAUAAAUGUCAGUGAUAUAAAUAACUGAU
Molecule: long non-coding RNA, 1470 nt
Organism: Saccostrea echinata
Lineage: Eukaryota; Metazoa; Mollusca; Bivalvia; Ostreida; Ostreidae
Exons: 3
Source: RefSeq, a predicted model, not a curated record